GCCCAUGCAAGUGUGUGUGUGUCUAGACAGCUAAAUGUUAACAAGUAUACUAGUGUUUCCAAUGCAGGUAGUAACUGAGAAACACCUACAUCUAAAGAAAGAGUUUCUAUUUUGCAUUUGUCUAUUCUAUCUUUUUUUGUUUUCCAUUUUCUUGGUAGAUCUUCCUCCAUCCUUUUAUUUUGAGCCUAUGUGUGUCUCUGCACAUGAGAUGGGUUUCCUGAAUACAGCACACUGACGGGUCUUGAAGGCCCCCACACCCCGACAGGCCCCGGUGUGUGAUGUUCCCCGCACUGUGUCCAAGUGAUCUCAUUGUGUUUCCAGCUUCAUCCAUGUCCCUGCAAAGGACAUGAACUCAUCCUUUUUUAUGGCUGCAUAGUAUUCCAUGGUGCAUAUGUGCCACAUUUUCUUAAUCUAGUCUAUCAUUGAUGGACAUUUGGGUUGCUUCUAACUCUUUGCUAUUGUGAAUAGUGCCACAAUAAACAUACGCGUGCACAUGCCU
This 499-nucleotide long non-coding RNA is filed under the name Pan troglodytes (chimpanzee). RNAcentral describes it as "long non-coding RNA NONPTRT012540". The record is from RNAcentral. Lineage: Eukaryota; Metazoa; Chordata; Mammalia; Primates; Hominidae.